Molecule: ribosomal RNA, 460 nt
Filed under: Bacillus subtilis
Lineage: Bacteria; Bacillati; Bacillota; Bacilli; Caryophanales; Bacillaceae
Also listed under: 1 other name
Description: bacterial SSU rRNA
Rfam family: Bacterial small subunit ribosomal RNA
Source: RNAcentral
GUCGAGCGGACAGAUGGGAGCUUGCUCCCUGAUGUUAGCGGCGGACGGGUGAGUAACACGUGGGUAACCUGCCUGUAAGACUGGGAUAACUCCGGGAAACCGGGGCUAAUACCGGAUGGUUGUUUGAACCGCAUGGUUCAAACAUAAAAGGUGGCUUCGGCUACCACUUACAGAUGGACCCGCGGCGCAUUAGCUAGUUGGUGAGGUAACGGCUCACCAAGGCAACGAUGCGUAGCCGACCUGAGAGGGUGAUCGGCCACACUGGGACUGAGACACGGCCCAGACUCCUACGGGAGGCAGCAGUAGGGAAUCUUCCGCAAUGGACGAAAGUCUGACGGAGCAACGCCGCGUGAGUGAUGAAGGUUUUCGGAUCGUAAAGCUCUGUUGUUAGGGAAGAACAAGUACCGUUCGAAUAGGGCGGUACCUUGACGGUACCUAACCAGAAAGCCACGGCUAACUA